GCUGGUGUAGCUUAACUCAAAGCAUAACACUGAAGAUGUUAAGAUGAGCCCUGAAAAGCUCCGCCGGCA
This 69-nucleotide transfer RNA is filed under the name Spratelloides delicatulus (delicate round herring). Its description in RNAcentral is "tRNA-Phe". It matches the Rfam family "tRNA". From Rfam's summary of the family: Transfer RNA (tRNA) molecules are approximately 80 nucleotides in length. Lineage: Eukaryota; Metazoa; Chordata; Actinopteri; Clupeiformes; Clupeidae. The record is from RNAcentral.